Varanus komodoensis (Komodo dragon) is the source of this 1184-nucleotide long non-coding RNA. RefSeq lists it as uncharacterized. The transcript has 2 exons. The record is from RefSeq and is a predicted model, not a curated record. Lineage: Eukaryota; Metazoa; Chordata; Lepidosauria; Squamata; Varanidae.
UGUGCUGACUCACACAGAAAACUCCGCGCUCUUUCGCUCUGUUGUCUCUUGGAGUAGCCCGGGCUUGAAAAAUGCAACCAACAUCUCAGGAUGGCUUACAAUAAAGGUUCUAACACCGUUGGCUACUCUGCUUAGGCUGGGCAGCAGAUCUGAGACAAAAGAUUGGUGCCUUCAGUGUCUACUGAACCAGUCAAACCAGUUCAUCUCCUUCCAGUAUGCAGACCCUUGUGUGCAUAUCUGCCUCCUCCGUCCGGCCUUGGUAGUCCAGGCACUGUUUACAAGUUGGAGACAAGUCAAGAGGGAGAGCAUCUAAGAGAUCCCUGAUAUGGCACGAACGAAGGUGGAUGGAGCUGGGUCUGUUUAGCCUGGAGGGAACAAUGAAUGAUGGAAAGAGAUGUAUCGAUAGUUUCUACGGGAGCCACACACACACACAAAGAACCAAGAGUUGGCCUGCUAAUGCAUUUUUCACAUUUGAAACAGGAACUCAUGGAUAAGCUGUUUCUAUUUUCAAGAAGAAUCUUCUCUCUAUCUGGAUGUCAACUGUUCUCCAGACAUUCUCUACAUUUUUGAAUAUCUGCCCAUUUUUAAAAAACUGGACGUAGUUUAUUUAACAUUAACUAGUAUUGAAGGCUUCUCAUGUAGUAGCAUUUAGUAUCUUAGGUGCGAUUCCAUGCAUAUCUAGACAGGAAAAAGACUACAAUGCCCAUCAUGCCCCAGCUAGCCAUACAGGGAGUUGUGGGACUUUCCCCCCUUCUUUCUAACCAUGUGCAGGAUUGCACCUUUCGGCACUUAAGUGGCCACGUAGUUUACCAUGGCAAGCAACAGCCUCCUUGGGUGUUCAAUCAGAAACAUUUUUCCAAAUCUGGCCCUUUUAGAUUACAAGUGGCCAGUGCUUAUAAAAAUGGCCAUUUUAGUUAUUUUUCCUUGACAUUUUGGGUUUGCAGCUGUUCAUUAUUGUUUUUGUUGUUCUAAACCCUUUUUAUUAUUUGCACUCUCCUGCAAACCUUUUGUGAAAGGGCGCUAUGCGAACAUCAUGAAUAAAUAAAUGCUCAGAUAUUUUGGCGCGGUGUUGAAUUGGAGAGGACCCUUGAAUGCACUUUUGAAUUCAGUUGUCCUUCCCAGGAAAAUAAACCCCUUUGUUUAAGAAUCGCACAAUGCCAAAAUCUUGCUGGGCUGUCUGCAAA